UUUAGGGAGACCUACCCGCUCAAAGCUAAAAGCAAGAAGCAGGAGAUGCAGAAAUGUAGAUACUGUAAGCUUGUGAAUAAGUCGAGAGUUGGUCAUCCCAAAGGUCGUUCGGUCUGUAAGUGGUGGCUUCUAAACUAUUGGUUCGGGUUCAUGGGCUAUUAGCUCAGGUGGUUAGAGCGCACCCCUGAUAAGGGUGAGGUCCCUGGUUCGAGUCCAGGAUGGCCCACCUGAAAACAACGAAUAAUUCGGGAUAAGGGUAAUGCCAAGAUCAACGAAUUAUUUUUUGGGGGUUUAGCUCAGUUGGUAGAGCGCCUGCUUUGCAAGCAGGAUGUCAGCAGUUCGAGUCUGCUAACCUCCACUGGAUAAAUACCCGAUGAAACCUGUAAGAUUCAGCAACUUGUCUUGGUGAAGUUAGUGAGUAACUGGCGAACAAGAGAGCCUGCUGGAUGAUUCCAGUGAUAGAACCUAGAAAACUGCAUAGUAGGAAAAGUCAGGUAGAAACAAACACCAAUGUAGAUUGUUUGU
Molecule: transfer RNA, 525 nt
Filed under: Elainella chongqingensis CCNU0012
Lineage: Bacteria; Bacillati; Cyanobacteriota; Cyanophyceae; Oculatellales; Oculatellaceae
Description: Elainella sp. CCNU0012 partial 16S-23S ribosomal RNA intergenic spacer
Rfam family: tRNA (bases 286-358)
Source: RNAcentral